UACGUAGGGGGCUAGCGUUGUCCGGAAUCAUUGGGCGUAAAGAGCUCGUAGGCGGCUUUGUCAGUCGGGUGUGAAACCUCCAGGCUCAACCUGGAGCCGCCACCCGAUACUGCAAUAGCUAGAGUCCGGUAGGGGAGCAUGGAACUCCUGGUGUAGCGGUGAAAUGCGCAGAUAUCAGGAAGAACACCAGUGGCGAAGGCGGUGCUCUGGGCCGGAACUGACGCUGAGGAGCGAAAGCGUGGGGAGCAAACAGG
This 254-nucleotide ribosomal RNA is filed under the name uncultured bacterium. RNAcentral's name for it is "partial 16S ribosomal RNA". It matches the Rfam family "Bacterial small subunit ribosomal RNA", at positions 524 to 776 of the family's 1533-position model. The record is from RNAcentral.